Molecule: long non-coding RNA, 455 nt
Organism: Camelus dromedarius (Arabian camel)
Lineage: Eukaryota; Metazoa; Chordata; Mammalia; Artiodactyla; Camelidae
Exons: 4
Source: RefSeq, a predicted model, not a curated record
UUUAUUUUUUAGAUGAAACAAUCCAGAUUGCUUCAGCUUCUGCCCAGCCAUCCAAAACCAGGGUUAGCCAAAGUGUAUUUCUGACAGAAGAGCAAGACCCUGUAAUUGGCCAAGUGAAUUGAAGGAUUCAUCUCAUCACUGGGCUGUCAGAUGAAACAGCUGAAUUUCUCCAGAGGACUGAGGUUUUAAGAACAUGAAGCUCAGGAAUCAAAAAGCCUGGAUAAGAAUUCAAGUUUUGCUGCUUUCUAGCUGUGUCACCCUGGGGAGAAUGAGCCUUUGACGCAUGAUGAGACUGGGAAUCAUGUGGCCACAUUCAUUGUCUAUGUAAGUAUGGUCAGUAUUGGAUUGUCCCCUAGACACAGCAGGCAUGGGCUGGAAGGGUCCCCACUGAACAAAACAUUAAGGGUUUGGAUCUAGGAAUUUAUAUUUUUAAAAAUACCAGUAGAUUCUAGUUA